RNAcentral lists this ribosomal RNA (478 nucleotides) under uncultured bacterium. Its description in RNAcentral is "partial 16S ribosomal RNA". It matches the Rfam family "Bacterial small subunit ribosomal RNA", at positions 28 to 507 of the family's 1533-position model. The record is from RNAcentral.
GAUGAACGCUGGCGGCGUGCUUAACACAUGCAAGUCGAACGGGAAUUAUUUUAUUGACACUUCGGUCGAUUUAAUUUAAUUCUAGUGGCGGACGGGUGAGUAACGCGUGGGUAACCUGCCUUAUACAGGGGGAUAACAGUCAGAAAUGGCUGCUAACACCGCAUAAGCGCACAGAGCUGCAUGGCUCAGUGUGAAAAACUCCGGUGGUAUAAGAUGGACCCGCGUUGGAUUAGCUGGUUGGUGGGGUAACGGCCCACCAAGGCGACGAUCCAUAGCCGGCCUGAGAGGGUGAACGGCCACAUUGGGACUGAGACACGGCCCAGACUCCUACGGGAGGCAGCAGUGGGGAAUAUUGCACAAUGGGGGAAACCCUGAUGCAGCGACGCCGCGUGAAGGAAGAAGUAUCUCGGUAUGUAAACUUCUAUCAGCAGGGAAGAUAGUGACGGUACCUGACUAAGAAGCCCCGGCUAACUACGUG